UACGAAGGGGGCUAGCGUUGUUCGGAAUUACUGGGCGUAAAGGGCGUGUAGGCGGCCCGUUAAGACAGGUGUGAAAUUCCUGGGCUCAACCCAGGACGUGCGCCUGUGGCUGGCGGGCUUGAGUCCGGGAGAGGAUGGUGGAACUCCCAGUGUAGAGGUGAAAUUCGUAGAUAUUGGGAAGAACACCCGUGGCGAAGGCGGCCAUCUGGACCGGUACUGACGCUAAGGCGCGACAGCGUGGGGAGCAAACAGG
RNAcentral lists this ribosomal RNA (253 nucleotides) under uncultured bacterium. RNAcentral's name for it is "partial 16S ribosomal RNA". It matches the Rfam family "Bacterial small subunit ribosomal RNA", at positions 524 to 776 of the family's 1533-position model. The record is from RNAcentral.